RNAcentral lists this long non-coding RNA (666 nucleotides) under Neogale vison (American mink). Its description in RNAcentral is "Neovison vison (American mink) lncRNA (ENSNVIG00000017335.1)". Lineage: Eukaryota; Metazoa; Chordata; Mammalia; Carnivora; Mustelidae. The record is from RNAcentral.
AUCCCAUCGGGGCCCUUGGCCUGGGGACCCCCCGCCCCGGCUUUGUGUGGUGGCCUCGUCACCGGCGCUGCCCCCCGCACGUCACAAAUCCGGGGAGAGGCCGGCCGGCCCGUCGCCCCGGCCUGCGAGAGUGUGCCUCCCCGGGAGCCGGCCUUGCUGGGACGCGCGGCCCUGCGCGCCACCUCCGCCCGGCUCCGGGUUCCCGGGGAUACUCGCGCUGGAGACGCGGAGCGCAAUAGGCCGUUCGGAGUUCGUCGACUCUCUGGGUGUCUACACUCUGAGAGACUUUUCAUUUUCUUUUUUAACAGCGGAGUUCCUCUUUCCAACCUGAUUACCUCGCACGACCUCGUUGGCCUGUCCUCUGCGGACUCCCGUUACCCUGGAGUUCUUAAAGGCGUUAAGCUGUUUUCCAGCUUGUGCAUUCACAAAAGGAUAAGAGAGCAACCAGGAUCAUGUCUGCUCCAGGAUCAACUCCUGCGUGCUGUCUAUAGGUAUUAACCUAUCCCUGAGGUCUCCAUCACAUGUUCCCUUUUUUGGCUUGAACAACUGAAUCAGAGCACAGUCUAUUUUUUCAGGAAAGACAGAGGAUAGCCUCCAAAAGAGCCGGACAACUCUAUAGCUUUUCUAAACCCCUUCGGUUCCCUGUGCACUUGAAGGCCUUUUUAG